CCUACGGGAGGCAGCAGUGGGGAAUAUUGGACAAUGGGCGAAAGCCUGAUCCAGCAAUGCCGCGUGAGUGAUGAAGGCCUUAGGGUUGUAAAGCUCUUUUACCAGGGAUGAUAAUGACAGUACCUGGAGAAUAAGCUCCGGCUAACUCCGUGCCAGCAGCCGCGGUAAUACGGAGGGAGCUAGCGUUGUUCGGAAUUACUGGGCGUAAAGAGUACGUAGGCGGUGAUUCAAGUCAGAGGUGAAAGCCUGGAGCUCAACUCCAGAACUGCCUUUGAAACUAGAUCGCUAGAAUCAUGGAGAGGUUAGUGGAAUUCCGAGUGUAGAGGUGAAAUUCGUAGAUAUUCGGAAGAACACCAGUGGCGAAGGCGACUAACUGGACAUGUAUUGACGCUGAGGUACGAAAGCGUGGGGAGCAAACAGGAUUAGAUACCCUGGUAGUCCACGCCGUAAACGAUGAUAACUAGCUGUUCGGGGUCUACGAUCCUGAGUGGCGCAGCUAACGCAUUAAGUUAUCCGCCUGGGGAGUACGGUCGCAAGAUUAAAACUCAAAGGAAUUGACGG
Molecule: ribosomal RNA, 561 nt
Filed under: uncultured bacterium
Lineage: Bacteria
Description: bacterial SSU rRNA
Rfam family: Bacterial small subunit ribosomal RNA
Source: RNAcentral